Molecule: ribosomal RNA, 478 nt
Filed under: uncultured bacterium
Lineage: Bacteria
Description: partial 16S ribosomal RNA
Rfam family: Bacterial small subunit ribosomal RNA
Source: RNAcentral
GACGAACGCUGGCGGCGUGCUUAACACAUGCAAGUCGAACGGUAAGGCCCUUCGGGGUACACGAGUGGCGAACGGGUGAGUAACACGUGGGUGAUCUGCCCUGCACUUCGGGAUAAGCCUGGGAAACUGGGUCUAAUACCGGAUAGGACCACUGCCUGCAUGGGUGGUGGUGGAAAGCUUUUGCGGUGUGGGAUGGGCCCGCGGCCUAUCAGCUUGUUGGUGGGGUGAUGGCCUACCAAGGCGACGAAGGGUAGCCGGCCUGAGAGGGUGACCGGCCCCACUGGGACUGAGAUACGGCCCACACUCCUACGGGAGGCAGCAGUAGGGAAUAUUGCACAAUGGGCGCAAGCCUGAUGCAGCGACGCCGCGUGAGGGAUGACGGCCUUCGGGUUGUAAACCUCUUUCAGCACCGACGAAGCGCAAGUGACGGUAGGUGCAGAAGAAGGACCGGCCAACUACGUGCCAGCCGCCGCGGUAA